UAGAAGCUGAACAAUGCUCUAAAGCCUCUUGUGGAGCCUCUGCAGAAUACAGUCUCAUUUCAGGUAGAAGAACAGAUGAUGAGGUGGGAGUGUGGUGGUGAGAAAGUGAAGAUUCCCUACUGCUUUCAUCACAUCUUUAUUCAUUCCUUCCCUGGGUGCUCUUGAUGGAACCUCACAGGAGUUUGGUUGAAUGCAGCAUAUUGUUACUACAACGUCUAUCAUGCAUCUGAUGCCAUGACAGUUCCGAAGAACCAAAUAAGGAAGAAAAAGCGGGAAAUGAAGGGUCCCAUGAACCAUGUUAAUGGAAUGUCACCAAUUUCCUCCCUGGGAAGGAUAAAACCCCCUGAUCAUCGUGACAUCCUCAGCGCAUAGUUCCCUGAA
Molecule: long non-coding RNA, 381 nt
Organism: Hipposideros armiger (great roundleaf bat)
Lineage: Eukaryota; Metazoa; Chordata; Mammalia; Chiroptera; Hipposideridae
Exons: 3
Source: RefSeq, a predicted model, not a curated record